RNAcentral lists this ribosomal RNA (330 nucleotides) under uncultured eukaryote. RNAcentral's name for it is "partial 18S ribosomal RNA". It matches the Rfam family "Eukaryotic small subunit ribosomal RNA", at positions 1470 to 1796 of the family's 1831-position model. The record is from RNAcentral.
CCCCUAGAUGUUCUGGGCCGCACGCGCGCUACACUGAUGAAUUCAACGAGCUCCUAACCUAGGCCGAAGGGUCCGGGUAAUCUUUGAAAUUUCAUCGUGAUGGGGAUAGAUUAUUGCAAUUAUUAAUCUUCAACGAGGAAUUCCUAGUAAGCGCGAGUCAUCAGCUCGCGUUGAUUACGUCCCUGCCCUUUGUACACACCGCCCGUCGCUCCUACCGAUUGAAUGGUCCGGUGAAAUGUUCGGACCGCGACAAGGCGGACGGUUCGCUGUCAGCUUUGCUGCGGGAAGUUCAUUAAACCUUAUCAUUUAGAGGAAGGAGAAGUCGUANCA